Triticum aestivum (bread wheat) is the source of this 1775-nucleotide RNA transcript. RefSeq lists it as uncharacterized. NCBI's taxonomy places the organism in Eukaryota, Viridiplantae, Streptophyta, Magnoliopsida, Poales, Poaceae. The record is from RefSeq and is a predicted model, not a curated record. The transcript is spliced from 7 exons.
CUCCCCUCCACUCAUCCGACGGCGACUAGAUGCGAAAACAACCGGCGACCAACAUCACACAAAGGUCGCCACCGCCGGCGGUGGAAGGACAGUCUUCUCCCGCCGCUAGCCGCAGCCUCCGCCUCGCCCUGAUCCUCGGCCUCCUCGACCGCCGCUCGCUCUCCUCGGAAGCACCUCGCCACCUCCCUGCCCAUGCCGUGUUCGCCGACUGCCCUGCUCGCGCCGACCUCGCCAAUCUCGCGGCCGCGCUUGGCAGUGCUCGACUUGUCCUCGCCGCCGCCAGCGGCGACGGGUCCUUCCCGUGCCUCUACCGCCUCGUGGCUGAGUCCUCCUCUCCCCAAAUCGACACCCGUCCAUUUGUCGAGCCUUCCGUGCCAGCGACAUGAGCAGGAUGGUGUACACCGACUUCACAGACAUGUGGCCGUCGAGGCUUCAGAUGAGGUCGACGCGGAUGAGAACAGUCCAUAGAGCCGUACCAGGCAGAACAAGCUGUUCCACGCAUGGGGUCUGAUUACAAUAUUUUCGGAGAUGCAUAAUAUGCCAAACACUUCUCAAGGUGCCUCGUCCAUGGGCGCAUGAUAGUGGAAAAACAUCUGUAAAUUGUGCAGGAUCCUAUAGAGCAAAUGGGCAUCAUCGACGUGCAGUACACGCUCUCUUAGGAAGAUAAGUAACCUCAGACAAGUUAUUUUGUGAAGAUCGGUGGUUCAUGGUCUGAAUUUUUUGUUUUUCUCUCUAAAUUUUGUACUUAGAUAAUCCCUUAAAUGCUUUUUACUGCUUGAUCACAUAAUACAUGUCCAUGCAAGAAAGGAGUUGUUAACUGAAACAAUAAUGUUAUUUUUUGUUGUUAACUGAAACAAUAAUGUUAAUUUAUGUUAACUACAAACUGUCUUGGACAUUGGUUUUUUCAAAUUAACUCCGUGUUGAACUGGUUCUUCUUGUUGUGUGCUGCAGCCCAGCAAUCUGUUCAUGCCAAAUGAUUGAGUCCUGGUGAGGUUCAUUGCUAGACAUGCACGGUCUCCGCAGGCAAGGAACACAUAAACGUAAAUCAGCGUGUUAUCAGAAACUCAUGAGCAUGAAAGAGAAAUUUGGAUCAUGUGCGAACAUGGGUAGAGAGCAGAUCGAGGAGAACUUGAAGAUUAAAGGCAAUGAAAGGUCUAUACACAUUAGCAUCCGAACCAGAACAAUCAAGUUCAAAGCUCUCAUGGUUGACUGGAGGUUCCGUAAAAUGGCAGCGGGUAGAGUUCUUGUCCUGCACAAAGGAAGGUAUAUGCCUCGCUAGCACACAAGAACAGUCAGGACCAUGUACGAAUCGGACGAACAGUUGGGGCUAUGUCACACCACCAAUCGAACAGUUCCGCGCCGGGACCCGUGUCUCGCUCGCAGCCGCGCCGGCACCCGUGGAUCGCUGGAAGCCUCGCCGGCACCCGUGUCUCGCUGGCAGCCGCGGCGGCACCGGGGGCAAAGUUUGAGGAAACAUGCCUACCUGAUCCGGCGGCAAACUUUGAAGAAACAGUUCAAAUCCACAUGAUCCGGACACAAACCUGGAAGCGUGGAGAAUCAGGCCUUGACUGCCACGCUCGAAAGAUAGGAUUUGAAAAUUAUUUGUUGUAUAUGGAAAGUGCAAAAAUAUUAGAUUAAACUGUUGUUUAUGGAAGCUUCUCGUGACGGAAUUUUCCGAUAUGAUUCCAUAUGAUUUGAUUUGAUUGGUGUCGUAAAUUGAAGGGAAGGAUGGAAGGUUUGUUGUUUUAUAUGGAAGGGGAUGGAACGUUUGGCUU